CUGCGGGCUGUCCUCUGGGGGCAGCCCGGCGAGCGAGUCCCGCUCCCGAGCAAUGCCCGGGUAUCAUCUGUCGGCACGGUGCUGCUGCCGAGCGGUCCGUCCCGCGGCCGCACUGCGGUGGCCGCUUGGCGAAAAAAAGGGGCGUAAAGAUUAAACAGAGGGGCGUCUGCUUCCCUCUGUUUACAUUUUUCUAUCUGAGUUUUUCUUGGAACUGAAGGCCUCAGGACUUCAGAACUUGUUUUUUUCUUCCCUAAAUCUUCCUUCCCUCUAUGAUAUUGAAGAAUCGUGAAGUAUCAUCAGUAAACACAUUUUUGUAUCUGGAAAAUGCAUUAAAAUCACCUAUGUAACCUGCUUGAAAGGUGCUGAUAACCGAAAAGAGAGAGAAAAAAAAGAAGAGAAACUAGGACAACUUUCCUAUGCAGGGAUGGGCUGGAGCCUGAUCUGAAUGGAGAGGAGGAAAGAGGGAAAGGCUGUGCAGCUGCAGCAUGAUUUCAUACUGUGAACACAUGACUCCAGUGGCUUCAAUCCUCUUGUAAGACUAUAUUUGCCAUAUGUGCAAAAGUGACAGUCAAAGAGGCUUUGUUACCAUGGACUUUUUUAGACAUCUACCCUUUCCCCAACUUGAGCACUGGCAAUGUCAGUUCUGACUUGUAUUAAUGGAAGUACUUUUUCUUUGAAACUAUAUUUUGAUUAAUUUCACAGGGUUUUAUUCACGUCCUUUGUUUUUGGCUAAGGAAAAAUAUGGAGCUAUGUGCAUGUGUGCAUUGCAUGCACACAUUCAUGAACAUAAAGAUUCAAAAGAAAAUGAGGGGAAAAUACCACUUCUGACCAAGCCUAACAAUUCUGAAAGGAAAAUUUAUACACAUUUUAUGCUUUUGUUAUUUAAUAAGAGGUGACACGCUGCCCUAGUGCCGACUUGUAGUAGAAUAGAUUUAAAAUUCUUGGACCAUCAGUAGCAAGAAAUCACAGGGCUGUACUUACAGAGGUCAUUAACUGUCCGGACAUCUGUUGGGUAACAAAUUCUGCCAAACAUAGAUCAUGAAAUGGUUCUUGAAUUAUGCAGAGGAUAAUUUCACAAUCCAGAAACCAGAGAAUUCAAGCAGAGAAAGAGCUGUGUAAGACCUUCUUAUUGCCAGUUGGGAAGGAAUUCACUACAGUGUCAGAAUUACAGGAAAGUUUGGUGCUAGUGGAAGUGGCCUGCUGGAUUGCUAGCAGUAGAAUAAGGAGCAGAUUUAGACAAUGGUCACAAUUACAGUUACAUACUCCACAAAGUAAUUGACAUUAUAGCAAAAUUGGCUGUAAUAAUUAGAGGGAUACUGUGACAAAAGUAAACUUCAAAUGUCUCAGUGAAAACUACUGGUAAAACAUGUUAGCACACAAGUAAUAAAUUUCAGUAUAAUAAAACGGGAAUUAGGAAACAAUAAGCAGAUGCAGAAAUGGGAAAAUUUGUGCUAUGUUGGAAACAAGCUAGAACAUUCUAAACAAUGUAUAAUAUAAAGCAUAACACAAUCUCAUUCCCCUUGAAAAAGGAAUACUGUCCCAUUUCCCAUAAGUUAACUGUAGUAGCCAGUUGGUAGAGGAUCACAAUUGAGUCCAAUUAUGCUGCACUGGACUAUAAUUGGGUUAAAGGGCUGCCAUUUACUUAUGAAAUGAGAGCUCAAAUGAUAUCUGUCAACCUUUGGAAUCAGGAGUUAGUCUGGCAUCAGGAGUUACUUAUUAGCUGCUACAGAAGUCCAGCACACAGCACAACCAAUCAUUGAAAACAUGAAGAGUGAAAACACUUGUCAGGGCAAAUGAGUUGUUUUGGCUUUUUUCCCUUGGACAGCUGAGGAAAGCCAUACUGAAUAACUAAGUAGAAAUGUCAAGAAAAACAUAUUGUAACUUCUUCUGAAAGGGAAGAUAAAGAGGACCUGGAAUGGAAGACAUGAAGAAAAAUAAGAUUUGAUCAAAGAAAAUAAAAUACAUUUAAAAACCCCUGCAAUACCUUGAAAGGUAAUGGAACGGAUAUAAUAGUUAAAAGCCUGGGAGGGUUGUCUCCUUUGGAUUGUUAAAUUUUAUCUUCCUUUGAGACCUCCAUUAUAUAAAUCACUCUUAGCUGUAUUCAGAACUCACCUAAACCAGUCAACAGGAAUGCACACAGGGCCAAGGUCCUAGGAAAAAAGAAUAAUAGAAAAUAGAAAUAUUUUAAAGGAGGGAAAGAACAGAAUAAACUCAGAGCAAAUGUUACAUUUAUCAUACAACCAGUGUACACACACACUCUGCCAAACCUGGAAAAGCAUACACUUAGUGUCAACCUGAAUUAUGGGAUAGGAUUUCUUGGAGUUUUUGCUUUGGACCCACGUUUGGAAAAUAACCAUAAAUGGUAUGUUGCCUUAAAAAUGGCUUACCAACAGGAAAAUAUUAGAACUGAUCCUGAAACAUUCAAGGCUUUCUGAUUGCAACAUCAGGAAAUUGACAGCCAUCUCCAACAACAAAAGAACUCAGCACGGACCAAACCAGAACUGGUUGGUGAAGACUGUUGUUAUGAAAAAAGGUUACGCUUGUAAUUCAGGGUUUGUUAUAAGCUGGUCUCAAGUCAAUUCUAAAAUUUUCCUAAUGAGAAAUGCUUUUGUGAUCUCAGCUCAGUAAGAAUUAUCCUUUUGUGACUUUCAAAGCUGUGUUUUAGUUGUCCUUCCUUCCCAUUUGAAGUAUUUCUAAAACAAGACACUAUUUCUCUGCAAAUUGGUGCAAGACAGAUUUUCCCACUGUGGCACCCAUUCAAGUUUUCUAUGACAACUAGGCCUUAUAUCAAGGUUUCAGUGUGUACAUAAAAGUGGGAAAAAAAAUCCUUUCACUUAAUUUUUAACCGCAUCUUUUGAAUAAUAUAUUCAGGAAACAGUCCCAAGCACCUUGCCAUAGGUGCUUGAAGUCAUGGAAUACAGAAGAACAGAUUUCUUCCCUGGAUGAAAGAGGCUUUAUCAGGUUUAUUUUAUUCUAGAAGACUUAUGUCUGUGCUUUAUAGAUGGCUUUUGUAGAGGUUUCCGAUCAGCUACUAGCUGAGAUUUGGUAAGUUUUUAUUAACUGCUAAGUGGAAAAAGAUGGACCAACUGGUCUGUAUUCCAUUCAACAUCAGUCAUUCCAGCUGCUUUGCAGGGAGCAACUGAGUGCAUCUUUCUUUUAGAGCGCAGUUUGAUUUUGGGCAAAAGAUGGCAAGGUAUAAUAAUGACAUUUAAUGACAUUAAUGACAUAAUGAUAAUGAACUUCUACAGCGUGGCAAUAUUUUAAACAAAGAACUCCCAGCUUUCAAAUACCACACACAGGUGUGAUACCUCAGUGGGAAGCAACUUAGGGAUGAAUGAAUAAUUCUGUCUUCUUGUUUACCAAGACUAUACGCAUUACAUUUGCCAUUAAAAAAAAACCCCAAGCACCAAAACAGACUACCUCAUUGCUUUGCCUCUCUGGGA
Long non-coding RNA from Pseudopipra pipra, 3443 nucleotides. RefSeq lists it as uncharacterized. The transcript is spliced from 3 exons. Lineage: Eukaryota; Metazoa; Chordata; Aves; Passeriformes; Pipridae. The record is from RefSeq and is a predicted model, not a curated record.